CUCAGAACGAAAGCUGGCGGCAUGCUUCAUGCAUGCAAGUCGCACGCACUUCGCUUGCGAGGUGAGUGGCGCACGGCUGAGGUACACCUGGGUACCUGCCCUCUCGUGGGGGAUAACGCGGCGAAAGCCACGCUAAACCCGCAUACGCUCCCGCCUUUGGGCGGGAGGAAAACUCUUAACAAGUGCGGGAGGAGGGGCCUGCGGCCCAUCAGGGCGUUGGUGGGGUAAGAGCCUACCAAGCCGAUGACGGGUAGCUGGUCUGUGAGGACAGACAGCCAGACUGGGACUGAGACACGGCCCAGACUCCUACGGGAGGCAGCAG
This 322-nucleotide ribosomal RNA is filed under the name uncultured bacterium. RNAcentral's name for it is "bacterial SSU rRNA". It matches the Rfam family "Bacterial small subunit ribosomal RNA", at positions 23 to 354 of the family's 1533-position model. The record is from RNAcentral.